Molecule: long non-coding RNA, 144 nt
Filed under: Polistes fuscatus (common paper wasp)
Lineage: Eukaryota; Metazoa; Arthropoda; Insecta; Hymenoptera; Vespidae
Description: uncharacterized LOC122517504
Source: RNAcentral
AAAUGAAUAAUAAAAUAAGGAAGAAAAAGAACAAGUUUAGAUUUUUGAAAAAGCUUUCAGGUAAAUCCAGUCGUAUAAGUAAUUAGAUACGAUAUCUCUCGAACGAAAUGAAUCGCGAGAGAGAGAAAGAGAAAGAGAAAGAAA